This 3610-nucleotide long non-coding RNA is filed under the name Sus scrofa (pig). RNAcentral's name for it is "lncRNA (ENSSSCG00000058612.1)". Lineage: Eukaryota; Metazoa; Chordata; Mammalia; Artiodactyla; Suidae. The record is from RNAcentral.
UGUACGUUCCAGCCUGAAGGCCUGUGAACUUGAUCCCCAGCGAAAGCCAGCUUCACUGCAAGUCCAAAGACAAGAGAAAACCCAGUCCCAGCUCAAGGCGGUCGGGAGGAGGAAAAGCCCUCCGUCUCAGGGGAGGGUCAGCUUCUCUGUUCUCGGGGCUUCCAAGCAAUACGAUGGGGCCCACCUGCCCUCAGGCUUCCGCUUGCUGGAGAGGCCUGUCUGCCUCGCUUACGCAGACCGGGUCCAGUGUGAGUCAUCCAGACACACCCAGAACCGUGUUGGACCCCUUGUCUGGGCAUGCCCUGGCCUGGUCAGGUUGACACAGGAUGAACCAUCACGCCUUGCCAGGGUCCUAGGGGUGGGGGGGCUUGUGUGUGUCCUGUUGCAGUGGAGGCUGCUGCAGCUGGGGCGGGAAGGGACCCUCCGCUGGCCCUGGCCAUGUUAACUGCCUGGUUGCCCCUCUGCAUUCCCGCUGGGCUGGCAGGGGCUGGGCCUGAUGGGUAUUUAGCACUGAGGCCUGGAUUGUCCCCCCUCCCGUAUCCGUGUGUUGAAGCCCUAACCCGAGGACCUCAGAAUGUGGCUGAAUCGGGGGAGAAGCCCCUUAAAGAGGUGAUUUUAUUAAAAGGAAGCUGUUAGGGCGGACCCCGGUCCAGUCUAACUGGACACAGACCCCAGGGGCGUGCGUGCUCCGAGGGACCAUCUCACAGACAGGAGCAGGAUGGCGGCCGUCCGCAAGCCCAAGGAGAGGCCUCGGAGGAAACCCGCCCUGCUGACACCUUGGUCUUAGACUUCUGGCCUCCAGACAGAGAGGCUGGGUGUCUGGGACUUAAGUCACAGUCUGUCACCUUGUUCUGGCGGCCCCAGCAGACAGACACAAGUGCAAGUGCUCCGUGUGUGCUGAAGGUCAAAGCAAUAAACCACGGUGGCCCUUGUCCUGGAGGAGCCCCCUGUGUCAUGGGGGAGGCCGACUCGAAGCAGGAGCUGCAGCCCUGGGCCCCAAAAGCCACCGUGGGAACAGAAGAGGCUUCCUGAAGGCUUCUGGCGGCCACUCCCCGUGGCUGUGGGUUCGAAAGGCGUUUUGAGCAGGGAGCCCGUGUGCAUCAGCCUGGAGCCCGGAAGGACAGCGCCUCUGGGAACUUGGGGCGACCUCGUGUGCCCCCCCAAGGAGUUGGGCCCUGGCCUGAGACGGUGCGAAGCCCCCCCUCCGCCCCCCAGCAGGAGACCCUCACUCUGGCGGCUGCAGAGGUGUUGGACCAAGCAAAACAAGAGGCAGCCUGGCAGAGCAGAAAGCCUCGCUCACCACCGGCAGCGUCCCCAUCUGGGGACGGCCAGUUACCGGGCAUCUCCGAGUGCCAGCGCCUACCUCUUUUCCAUCAGGCCAGAAUCCAGCGAGGAUUAACCUGACGGUUUGCGGCAGGGGCUCGCUUUUAGAAGAUGCUCGGUGAUUGGGCGGGUCCUCCCCCGCAGGGGGCGUGGCGGGAGCGGCACAGGAGCCCCGCCCAGCCCUGCCCCGCUGCCUCCCCUGACCCCCGACCUGCGUGGAUCCUUCUCCCUCUGUUCCCCUAAGUCUUGCCCAUUGUCCCAAACCCCCAUAACACGCCCCUUCUCCAGGGGCCCUGUCAAGGGCGUAGGUUCACCUUAACCUUCACCUCCCACGAACCCCUGGGUUUUGCGGCGACUGCCUAGAGUGUUUCAUGCGCCAGGACCACUGACUCAGAAGUGGCGCUGCAGGGGGUGGGGUGGGGGCGUGGAUCUGGCGCCUUUGCACAGCAGGCCGCCGGGAAAUGGUCACCACAGCGCAUCGUGACUUUCACGCAGCUGUGCUCUGUGACCCCGACACCUGGCCAGCCAUCCCUCCUCCAGCAAACAGCAAGUGCCGGGCACUCUGCCGGGCGCUGCGUCUGGACAGUCAGUGGUCCCCGUGCUGCCCCCGGUGUGCCGAGGGAGGCAGACGUUGACCAGAUCAUGAAAGAAAGUGCGGUUACAGCUGUGCUGGGUGCCCCGAGGGACACUCGGGCCUGCAGCGAGCGUGCAUAGCAGUCGCCGCCAUACCCACCUAUGUCAUGCCACCUGCACCCCUGCAACGAGCUCCACAAGGCUCUGCAAGAGCUUGUUUUCCCCAAAUGUCUCUUUCCUCUUCCUGCCUCUGCAUCCACCGGUCCCUCCAGCCCUCCUUCUUUGGGGGCUGGUCCCUCCACUUGAGCAGGGAUGCCAUCCCGGGUCACGGUCGUGGGGUGGGGGGUCUCUCUCUUCCUCCUGUGUGCGUCCUUUCCAACAGGCUCAAGUUUCACCCAUCUAAAAACAACAACAACAACAACAACAAAAACCCCACACAACUCCCCAGUUCCAGACACCCUUUCAUUCAUUAUUUAGCUCCGUUGUCUUCUGACUCUUGGUUCAUAUUUUUUUAAAAGAACUUUGAAAAAAAUCUACACCAACAUUUCAAGCUGAUAUUGUUCUACAGCUCAAGUAUUUAGAGUUACAAAUAAUAUCAUUUGCCACAGAUGGUAGAGAGGCUUUAAAGAAAACGAAUACAUCACUCCUGUAAGUGAUUUUAACAGAAUUGACAUGUAGAAAAAUGUAGUUCCCGCCACAUCCAUUUUAUAGACAGAAUGUGCUUUCUUUUCAUGUUUGGAAAUAAUGUGUUUACGUUUUCUUCUAGCAGCUGCAUUUCCAUUUCACUUUACUCACAGAAUUUUCUCCUAAUGUCAUGUUCUUAUGCUUGAAGUCAUACAGAAUAUGUAUCACAUCACAUACAGAAUUAAGUUCUGGCCAUAUGAGAAUGAAAUUAAAAUCCAUUGGAAAAAGAUACCUGGACAAUAUCUGAAUAUUUGGAAAUGAAAAUGCACACUGCCCAAUAGCCUGUGGGUGAAAGAAAAAUUAUAAAACACAUUUAAAAUGUUUGAGUGAUAAGAAGAAGAGAAUACAGCCAGCCCUUGGUAUCUGUGAGGGGUGGGUUCCAGAAUUCACCUCAGAUACCAAAAUCCACAGAUGCUCAAGUCCCAUUGUCCCCACCCCCCAUGGCCAAAGUUCCGCAUCUGCGGAUUCAGUCCGUCCGGGAGCAUGUGGCACCAUGGUGUCUGAGGGCAACCGGAGGGCUAAGUGUACCUGCAGAGUUCAGACCUACGUUGUUCAAGGUCAGCUCUACAUGAACAAUUCUGAAACGCAGCUAAAGUUGUGUUGAAGGAAAUUGAGAGCUUUUAAAUGUUUUGUUAGAAAAGAGGAGAGAUUAAAUCAAUCUGAAGUUUCCACCAUGAGAAGCUAGAAAAAGAAGAGCUAGUGAAACACAAAGGACCAAGGACGUAGAAGAAAGCAAACUACCAGGGAAAGCAGAGAUCAGGAGUUCCCGUCGUGGUGCAGUGGAAACGAAUCCGACUAGGAACCCUGAGCAACAGAUGGUAGAGAGCUCGGGUUCGAUCCCUGGCCUCCCUCAGGGGGUUAAGGAUCCGGUGUGGCUGUGGCUGUGGUGUAGGCCGGCAACUACAGCUCCGAUUGAACCCCAGCCUGGGACCCUUCAUAUGCUGCAGGUGCGACCCUAAAAAGCAGAAAUCAAUAAAAUAAGACAUGGGCAAACAGCAGAGAAAACUCAGUAAAACCAAAAGCUGGUUCU